UCCUGGUGGCUCAGACGGUAAAGUGUCUGCCUGCAAUGCGGGAGACCCAGGUUUGAUCCCUGGGUCAGGAA
This 71-nucleotide transfer RNA is filed under the name Bos taurus (domestic cattle). It matches the Rfam family "tRNA". From Rfam's summary of the family: Transfer RNA (tRNA) molecules are approximately 80 nucleotides in length. Their secondary structure includes four short double-helical elements and three loops (D, anti-codon, and T loops). Lineage: Eukaryota; Metazoa; Chordata; Mammalia; Artiodactyla; Bovidae. RNAcentral also lists the same sequence under 3 other names. The record is from Rfam by way of RNAcentral.